Molecule: small nucleolar RNA, 137 nt
Organism: Cervus hanglu yarkandensis (Yarkand deer)
Lineage: Eukaryota; Metazoa; Chordata; Mammalia; Artiodactyla; Cervidae
Source: Ensembl
GUAUCACUUAGGAAAUAAUAAGGAGCUCUGUCCAAAAACAGGGAGCACAUAGUGUUGCAUGCCAGAGCAAACGCGGCCCCGAACCAUUGCCUGGCCUCUGCCAGUAGGCUGCAGGCACUGAAGCGGGUUGCACAGUG